GAUCAUGGCUCAGGAUGAACGCUAGCUACAGGCUUAACACAUGCAAGUCGAGGGGCAGCGGGGAUCUAGCUUGCUAGAUUGCCGGCGACCGGCGCACGGGUGAGUAACGCGUAUCCAACCUUCCCCUUAGUAGGGCAUAGCCCGUAGAAAUGCGGAUUAAUACCCUAUGUUUUCCAAUGAGGACAUCUGAGCUGGAACAAAGAUUUAUCGCUAAGGGAUGGGGAUGCGUCUGAUUAGGCAGCAGGCGGGGUAACGGCCCACCUGGCCUACGAUCAGUAGGGGUUCUGAGAGGAAGGUCCCCCACAUUGGAACUGAGACACGGUCCAAACUCCUACGGGAGGCAGCAGUGAGGAAUAUUGGUCAAUGGGCGCGAGCCUGAACCAGCCAAGUAAGCGUGCAGGACGACGGCCCUAUGGGUUGUAAACUGCUUUUAUGCGGGGAUAAAGUGACGUACGUGUACGUUUUUGUAGGUACCGCAUGAAUAAGGACCGGCUAAUUCCGUGCCAGCCGCGGC
This 514-nucleotide ribosomal RNA is filed under the name uncultured bacterium. RNAcentral's name for it is "bacterial SSU rRNA". It matches the Rfam family "Bacterial small subunit ribosomal RNA", at positions 15 to 518 of the family's 1533-position model. The record is from RNAcentral.